CUUCUAGAAGAUUGCCAGCAGCCGCGGUAAUACGUAGGGUGCAAGCGUUGUCCGGAUUUAUUGGGCGUAAAGAGCUCGUAGGCGGCUUCGUAAGUCGGGUGUGAAACCUCCAGGCUUAACCUGGAGACGCCACCCGAUACUGCGAUAGCUAGAGUCUGGUAGGGGAUCACGGAAUUCCUGGUGUAGCGGUGAAAUGCGCAGAUAUCAGGAGGAACACCGAUGGCGAAGGCAGUGAUCUGGGCCAGUACUGACGCUGAGGAGCGAAAGCGUGGGGAGCAAACAGGAUUAGAUACCCUGGUAGUCCACGCCGUAAACGUUGGGCACUAGGUGUGGGUCCUUAUCAACGGGAUCCGUGCCGCAGCUAACGCAAUAAGUGCCCCGCCUGGGGAGUACGGUCGCAAGACUAAAACUCAAAGGAAUUGACGGGGGACCGCACAAGCGGCGGAGCAUGUUGCUUAAUUCGAUGCAACGCGAAGAACCUUACCUAGGUUUGACAUGUACGGAAAAGCUACAGAGAUGUGGUGUCCUUCGGGGCCGUACACAGGUGGUG
RNAcentral lists this ribosomal RNA (550 nucleotides) under uncultured Actinomycetes bacterium. RNAcentral describes it as "bacterial SSU rRNA". It matches the Rfam family "Bacterial small subunit ribosomal RNA", at positions 494 to 1043 of the family's 1533-position model. The record is from RNAcentral. Lineage: Bacteria; Bacillati; Actinomycetota; Actinomycetes.